UUAAUUGAGACUAUAAUAUUGUGGUUUACUCGGCCAUAUUUUGAGAGUAUAAUAUCAUAUUUCAUCCACAAUUGUAGUAAAUUUACCUUAACUAUACAAUUUAAAACCUUGGAAUGGAUUCCAUGAAUAGGAACCAGCAUCAUCACCUUCAAGAGGGUAUCAUGCUUCUUCUUUCCCGCUGGUAUGCCCUUCAAAUGGCCAUUAAGAACCAAUGGGGUGGCUCUGAUUCCCUCCAGAAAUCUCACCACCUUGCUUCUCAUAUUUUCUCUUUGUUCUCCACAUCCAAUGGUCAUUUACUUCUUCUCUCUUAAGAGUUUUCUUUGCAUUAUUGGUUCAUUCAAUUAAGUUAUAUGGUAGCCUCCAAUUACUCGACAGAGAGAAACCAAGAAAAAUUAUAGACAAAACUAUUAAUAAUGAUUUGUUAUAAAUAUGAUUUAUCACAUAACAUGAUAUUGAUUUAUGACAUAAAAACAUGUUUUCCACUUGGUUGUAAACUGAACAAUGUUAUCGGACACAUCUUUAUCAUUGAUUUCGGAGAGAAAAAAAAGGGUAUUAUAAUGUUAAAUUAUAGCUGCAUGAUCUAAUUCAUUGAUAAAGAUGUGCCUCACACUAAUAUACAAUCCAAUAAACUCUCAUCAAAGAGGUUUGAUUGUUGUUAUAUUAUUGACUGAUUCAGUUUCACAUUUUUUUAGUUCUAUUUUUCUCUUGUUCCAAUUUUACUAUUUCUCAUGUCUGAUAUGUAUGCUUUGUUAUUACAGCACCGGUUCCUGUUGAAGAUUUGGAAAAUCUGCUCCAUGAAUCCAUGCUGCUCACAUUCAACACUGAGAUUGAAGAUGGCAGCAUAGAAGAGGUAUAAAAUCAAUAGGAAAUAAUGAGAAAUCAUAUUUUUGAACCAAUCACAAAGGGUGAUACAGAUUGUGGUACAAAAAAGUGAGAGAGAAAAUAUUAUCCCACAAUUAAUACAUACAUAUAUAUACUCUUUAACUUACUCCUAUGUUGCAUGUUCACGUUAUUAACAUCUGUUCCUUGUAUUUGUAACUUUUCCAAAUGUUAGAUUUUAACCAAUGUUACUUUACCAAAUGUUGGAUGUUAAUCAAUGUUUUUGUCCAUUUACUAUGCCUUUUUAUGCUGUGACGUUAGCAUCCUUAGGAUUCUGCUAAUGGUUUAUAGUAUUGCAAGCAGGUAGCAGAACAGUUAAUGGGUAUCCAUGAAGAAUACUUGUUACACAAGUUAUCGCAUAGUCUGUAACUGAAAGCCUAUACAAGCACGAAUGUCGCUCUGGUAAACCCCAUUAGUCUUUCCUAACACAUCUAUUUUUGACAAGUUUUAAUCAAAUUCGUAUUUUAUAAUGCAAACUUGCAAAGUAGUUGUUCUUUGUGACUUUAAGUCAUUAAUUCAUAUGCUGUUAUUUGACAGGUUGGAUAAAAUGAGACAUAGCAAAGAGAAUUUCAAUUCAAAAUUAUAUUAGGAAACUGAAUAGAUGCUGAGAUAUGUUAGGAGCAGAUGAUGGACAAACUUUCCUUCAUGCCUAUUUGUGUAACAUAAUGUCAUAGGCUAACACCUGAGAAUAAUAUCAAUUCAUUCAAUGAUAUUUAAUUUAUGAAUCCAUAUACUCCCAAAAUGGAAAAGUAUUGUGUAUAUUCAUAUUCCAUAUUAUCACACAUACAUAUAUCAAAACAUAAUUUUAGAAACAACAAAAUGUUGAUUUAAUAAUAAAAGGUUCUACUAAAUCUCUACAAAAAUAAAAAAUUUAAAGAUUCAAUUUUUGAAAGAUAAAAAAAUUAAUUCAUUAGUCUGUGAGAGAGAAUACCUUUUAUAAUUCCAUAAAAAACAUAUCUUUAACUACUUCAUAUUAUAAAGUAUAUUUGUCACUCCAUUAUUCAAUAUUUCUAAACAACAAUUUAGGCAAAUAUGCUUUUUCAUCCCUUUAAUUUAUUUAUAUCUAUAAUUUCUCUUACUCUUAAACCAAACCAAACAUUGCUUUACUCACUCUACACUCUCAUCCAUGGCUUCCACCAACGGCAACAACACUCCUCCCCCAAGGUAAUUAAAGCUUCCACCUUUUUCAUUCUUUAUUCUUAUGUGACAGAUAUGAGCUAUUUGCACAUAUAUGGAACGGGAUCUCAAUCCUCUUUUAUAAGUUGUUCAAUGGCAAUGGUCAUACAAAGAGAUAUAAACAUAAAGACUCCCAUAUGCUUUGUUUUAUGUAAUAUCUGUGUGUUCAUAUGUUUUUUAAUAUUCUUUUCAUGUUAUCUUGGCAUGAAAAAUAACUCACAUGAUAGAGGAUCUUUGGACCCGUUUGAUAGCAACAAUAGUUACAUAUAUAUUGCAUGAUUUAAGAUAAAUAUUACUACCCAUUAUUCAAUUUUGUUACGGUAGAAGAGGUGAUGGUCACAACGACGAAUAAAGAUUAUUUGUCCCGAGAAAUCAUGUCUCUAUCCAAUCAAAUUAUAAAUCUAACAUAAUUUUGCUUUUAUGAUUUUUUAUUUAAUUGAAUGACACAUUGUAAUUGGUGAAGGACAUAAUCUGAGACAAAGGAUCUCCAUUCUACAACAACAUUGAUGAGGUAAUAGUGACAAUUGUCUUCAGUUGCCAAAAAAUUACUAGUGUUAAUUUUUCCAUUUGAUUUCAUUCCACAUAUUAUAUCCACCAAUACUCAACUUAAACACUUCAUACUUUAAUUUCAUUUCAUUUCAUUUCUAAAUCUCCUGUGUCAAUAUAUGUUAUAUAAAGCCUUAAAAAUAUAUUAGGUGAUAUAAACUUGUUACACUCACAAGAGAAAUGUGUAGCCAAUUUAGCACCUUGCUAAUGAGGCUUGUAGUGGUAUUUACCCUUUUAGAUAGCAUUACUCGUAAGUUUUCUAACCUAGUUUGUGAAGCUGUUUGUGGGAUUAUUCUUAAAAAGUUUAUUGAAAAUUCUAAGAAGCAAUUUACCAUUUAUAAACGAAGGAGAAACAUUGUUGUUCACCAAUCACAUUACAUUUUAAUAAUAAAAAAUAAACAAAUGAUGAUAUGUUGUAGAUAGACUUACCAUAUAUAGUUAAAAGUAGAAAGUAGAAUGCAUCCAUCUCACCAUUCCCUUAAUUUCAUGCACUCCACACAUAUCUUACAUAUACUUCAUGGUUUCCUCUCAUUCUUUCUCACCACUCCUUGUGUUGUUUGGAUCUUUCUUUUUCUCUUCCAAACACACACAGGUGAUUUUCUCAUGGAUUAAAGGUUUUAAAAUACCCAUAAUUAAUUAAUUGAGACUAUAAUAUUGUGGUUUACUCGGCCAUAUUUUGAGAGUAUAAUAUCAUAUUUCAUCCACAAUUGUAGUAAAUUUACCUUAACUAUACAAUUUAAAACCUUGGAAUGGAUUCCAUGAAUAGGAACCAGCAUCAUCACCUUCAAGAGGGUAUCAUGCUUCUUCUUUCCCGCUGGUAUGCCCUUCAAAUGGCCAUUAAGAACCAAUGGGGUGGCUCUGAUUCCC
RNAcentral lists this long non-coding RNA (3468 nucleotides) under Lupinus angustifolius (narrow-leaved blue lupine). Its description in RNAcentral is "long non-coding RNA (LANG_LNC002495)". The record is from RNAcentral. Lineage: Eukaryota; Viridiplantae; Streptophyta; Magnoliopsida; Fabales; Fabaceae.